GAGAUUUUCGGGUCCAUUGGGAUUGGAUACGUUAUGGAUUUCAGCUUCAAGAGCAGGAGGACUAGGGGUUUCGUGGGCAUUUCGGUUGUUGGUGUCCUCGGGACUGCAAUUUGGAUUGGCGGACUUGCCAACCAACUCAACUACUCUCGAAGCGAUUUGCCUGAGAAGUUGGAUUUUAAGGACUCCGGCUCUGCUUUCGCAGGACCGUUCGUGUUGUAUUUUAGUUUCGGGUUGCUUGAUGCCAUAUUCCAGAGAAUGGUUUUCUGGGUCAUUGGAGCCUUGGCUGAUAACUCUGAAAUUCUAAGCAGGUAAUAGAAUAUUCCUUGCUUCCCAAGUCUUUAACCUUUCAAUGAUCUUUGUGCGUUUGGGCAAUUUUUCGUGUGCAGGACUGGACAAUCCAAUCCAAUCCUGCGCACGAAAUGUGGACUUAGUGGCAUUCACAGAACAAUGUGUGAUUCUAAAAAUUUAUUUAAUUUUGUGCAUGUUUUGUACAGGUAUGUUGGAUUCUACAUGGGAAUACAGAGUGCAGGGUCAGCAGUAGCUUGGCAAGUCGAUGCGCACAAGGCAUCCUUCCUCUCCCAAUUGGUUACGAAUUUCACGCUUUACACCGUGAGUUAUCCGCUGCUGGUGGUUCUGAUCUUGCUGGCCGUGAAGGAUGAAGGUAAGGCUGAUGUGGAGGAAUUUACCAAGGGGAAGGUUGCUGAAUUUACCGAGGAGAAGUUGCUGAGCCUGCAGCCUCAGAGAAGUGAUCGUAAUGAUCGUCGGCUUAAUUAGCAGAUGAAAUUAGUCAUAAGCCAUCCAAAUGUUUGUCUUAAUUACGUCCAUACAAUCGAAUCUUCACGAAUUAUUGUAAUGGAAAUGCCAGUAUAAUUGAUGUAGCACGUUCAAAUUGUCAAAAAAUUUACAGAGUAAUCAAAGUUCAUGUUUUGAUAAAAUGUCUGAAUGACUAGUUCUUGACCACGAUUGUCCAUUAUAUUCAUGGAUGCUUGGAAGGAAUACUGAGAGAGUCUUCUACUCAUCGAGGAACCUUCAUGUCAAACCCUAGCUAGUGAUAGAGCCAGAUGAUAUUUGACGUGAUUUUCCUAUGAUCUCUCGAGCCUUGAGUAUUUACAAAUGCUUGGUUAACAAUCCUUCCACCCUUGGACCAACUGGAGGCACGCACAGUGAUGAUGCUUCCUCAGAAGGAUCUCAUCAUGGUGUUUGAAUGAUCGAGGAAACAACUAAGCAAGAUAAUGCAAAGGAAUCAUGGUUUUUGCUUCAGAACCGCAAGAAAGGAGCAUAGAGUUUGAUAUCUCAUAGUUGUUUGCCAAUUCAAUCAGUUAUUGGGUUCUUUCGCACCAGACAUUUUUCAUCGGAGGAUGCUUUCGUUGUUGUUUUAGCCAGAAGGUAAGACGCGUCCACUCAAUAUGAGCAAUAGAUCAGGUUUCCUUUGCCCGUUGGAUUUCGGAGGCCACCCUACUCGUAGUGUGUAUUUGCUGGUAUGUGAUUGAGUUGGGCUGUCUAAAUCCUAAUUAGUGUUUUUUAUGACAUGUUAAAAGCCUUCUGGAGUUUUAACCACUCGAGCAAGGCUCGAGCAGUCCUUGUGAGGCCUCGGUGGGGGUCCAAGUACCGCUUGAAGGGGCCUCGACAGGACUCGAGCAUUGCUCUAGAUUAUCUUGACGGGUUUUCGUCAUAUUGUUAAACGUCUUUUAGUAAGGAAGCGUCGUAAUCGUGGAGCAAUAAUGUGUUUGACUUUCGGAUACAUGGUCCGAGAUUUCGAUUUGAUACUUGAUGUGUUCGUUGGAUCUUGUUGCAGAUUAGGAUCUACUUCCAAAAACUACAGUAGAAAAUGGUGUAGAGCCAAAGUCUAUAAUCUUGAAACGUAGGUCAUCCCUUUAUCCUUUCCACAACCCUAUUGCUGGUGGUCCGUUCUUGGACCACCAUAAGUACCGAUGAAAAGUCAAUCACGUCUUGUUAAAAUUUUCACAAUUGAUUUGGAAUAUUAAUAUAGUGAUAUUCUCGGCAUAUGUAACGUUUAAGUCAUCAUGAUAUUGUGUCUGUAUCUUAAGUCAGUCGCACAACAGUAAUAAUUGAACUCUGAACAAGAUUAUAAAAGUUGCUUGAGUAAUGAACUUAUUAAACAAAAACUCAUUCAUUUAGGAGACCGAGUUUACAAUUGUCGAAUGUUUUUUUUUUUUCCACAAACCAACAAAAACAAUAUCUUCCUCUCAAGAACGCUCGAUAACUCCCUAUUGAAAUGAGUUUUUAAUCCUUUUAUUUUCUUUAAAAUGAGACUAAUUAGUGGUUUCGUCAUGACAAUUUACUUUUUAUAGACCGAAAAAAUCCGCAGAAUAUAUUGAAAUGAGUUUUUGGUCGAUCAGGAAUUGCAGCCGCCCGACUUGCCGUUUAAUGAGCUAAUAAUGCCAAAAUGCUUUAACGUCACUUGGUGCGCUUGCGUUUGAAGAGUUUGUCGAUGUCAACAGCAAACUUAGACUUUUCUGUGAAGUAUGCCAAACAAGUUGAAAACAACAUAUAGCCACUCUUAAUUUACAAUUUCUCCCUCACGCUUGGGAAGGAAAAUACAAUUACUUGAUUAUCUGCGCCUGCAUAAUCAUAUUAGACAAACCAAGUUUAAUUAGUUACUGAAUUAUUUGAUGUUACGGAAAACAGAAGAUUAUACGUUGCAGACAUGAGCUUAAGUUGGUUAACAUAUUGUUUCCGUUUUUUACCCAACUUCAAGUCAUGCUCUUAAUAAUAAACAAUACAUCGUUAUUAUGAGGAGAUUUUUCAGUUGUCGGAAACACGACCUGAUACACUAAUAAAAUAAAAUUGUACCUAAUAUUUUAUCCGUACGUCUUUAUUUCUUUAAAUCUCAUACCAUCGAAGUUGUUUUCGAUCUUCACACUUUAUCUCUCUUUUCUUGGACCCUGAAUCAAGGACGGUUUGGCAUGGACAUAUACUCAUAUGCCCAUUCCAACUUGGGAAUUGAAAUACAAGAUUCCCUUCCACCCCUAAUCUAACGAAUGAUUAAAAAUUUGAAACUGUGAUUUUUUUAUGCAUAUUCAUAUCCCAUCCCGUCAGGAUUAGGGAUUUAUAAUCUGACUUUUCUCAGCAUCAUUCUCACACGCCCCGCUGGACUCUGAAAACCCAGACAAAGCCUGGACUCCAUAAAUUGUCAUUUGCUAUGCAUUCUUUGUCCAAUCCAAGGGUCCUUGUCCGUUUUGACCCUUGCAAUUGGUCCCGGACUAUAUCGUCCCGAGCUAAAUCCUUCUGCUAAUCACAACCACAUAAGUUCAUCCUUUCGAUUCUCCACCAAAUCCCCGUAAAUUAGAUUAGUUUAGAAUAUCGCUCGAUAAAAAGUUCGGAUCCCAGUUCCAUUUGGCAUUCAAAGGGAGGAACUUUGUGAUUAAAAUCACACAGAAGUCGUAAAAUUUAUCACCUGGGAUUCGAUGGUUUCCGAAGGAGUGGAAGAAUCGGGAGGCACGGAGGUGCCCCAGUCGAAAUUCAGGUACAACUCGCCGUUUGUCCAAGUGAGUUUGAUCGGAUUGGUCUGUUUCUGCUGCCCUGGCAUGUUCAUGGCCCUCUCUGGCAUGGGCGGCGGAGGCCAGGUCGACCCGACUGCCUCCAACAACGCCUCCACCGCCCUCUAUACCACCUUCGCCGUCUUCGGAAUUCUCGGCGGCGGCAUCUACAACAUCCUCGGCCCCCGCCUCACUCUCCUCUCCGCCUGCCCCACCUACGUCCUCUACGCCGGCUCAUUCCUCUACUACAACCACCACAAGCACCAGGCUUUCGCUAUUGUCGCCGGAGUAAUCCUCGGAAUCGGCGCCGGCCUCCUCUGGGCAGGCCAAGGCGCCAUCAUGACGUCAUACCCUCCCCCGAACCGAAAGGGGACAUACAUCUCGAUUUUCUGGAGCAUUUUCAACAUGGGUGGCGUCAUCGGUGGACUAAUUCCCUUCGUUCUUAAUUACCACCGGAGCGAAGCGGCUUCCGUCAACGAUGCAACUUACAUUGGGAUAAUGAUUUUCAUGUCCAUCGGGACUCUUUUAUCCCUCUCUAUCCUGCCCGCCAGCAAAGUUGUCCGGGACGACGGGACUAAAUGUACGGACAUUCAGUACUCAAAUGUCACAACUGAGGCCAUUGAGAUUGCCAAGCUGUUUACGAAUUGGAAAAUGCUUCUUAUAAUCCCGGCUGCUUGGUCGGGCAAUUUUUUCUACACCUACCAGUUCAACAACGUCAACCAAAUUAUGUUUAAUCUGAGGACGAGAGGAUUGAACAAUGUGUUCUACUGGGGAGCGCAGAUGUUGGGGUCCAUCGGGAUUGGAUACGUUAUGGAUUUCAGCUUCAAGAGCAGGAGGACGAGGGGUUUCGCUGGCAUUUCAGUAGUUGGUGUUCUCGGGACUACAAUUUGGAUUGGCGGACUUGUCAACCAGCUCAACUACUCUCGCAGUGAUUUGCCUGAGAAGUUGGAUUUUAAGGACUCCGGCUCUGCUUUCGCAGGACCCUUCGUGUUGUAUUUUAGUUUCGGACUGCUUGAUGCCAUGUUCCAGAGCAUGAUUUACUGGGUCAUUGGAGCCUUGGCUGAUAACUCUGAAAUUCUAAGCAGGUAACAGGAUAUUCCUUGCUUCUCAACUUUUUCAUUUCUCAAUGAUCUUCGUGCGUUUAGGCAAUUUUUCGUGCGCAGGCGUGGACAAUCCAAUCCAAUCAUGCGCACGAAAUGUGGCCUUAGUUACAGUCACAGAACAAAGAGUGAUGCUAAAAACUCAUAUUUUUGUGCAUGUUUUGUACAGGUAUGUUGGAUUCUACAAAGGAAUACAGAGUGCAGGGGCAGCAGUUGCUUGGCAAGUCGAUACGCUCAAGGCAUCCUUCCUCUCCCAAUUGGUUACCAAUUUCGCGCUCAACACCGUGAGUUAUCCGCUGCUGCUGGUUCUGAUCUUGCUGGCUGUGAAGGAUGAAGGUAAGGCUGAUGUGGAGGAAUUUACCAAGGAGAAGGUUGCUGAGCCUGCAGCCUCAGAGAAGUGAUCAUAAUGAUCGUCGGCUUAAUUAGCAGAUCAAAUUAGUCAUAAGCUCUGAAUAUUUGAUUUAAUUACGUUCAUACAAUCGAAUCUUCACGAAUUAGUGUAAAUUAUGUACCAUGUUCAAAUUGUCAAGUAUUUUACUGAGUAAAUGUUGUAAUGGAGGUACUAUAUUGAAAUAAAAUAGUAGGUGGGGUAUGAAAGUGAAAUGUUUUAAAGAUGUUGUAUAGAGUUGUAAUAGACUUUAAACUUGAGGGGUAACUAUGUAAUUUACCCUAAUAAAUAAUACACCGUUAUUGUGGGAAGAUUUUUUCAGUACGUCGAAAACCCGGCCUGGUACACCAAAUAUAAUAAUAUAAUUAGUUGAAAAUUGAAAAUAAAAUUUCAACCAAUUAUAUUAUUACACUUGUGUACCGAACGUGUUCCAAAUACACUGAAAAAUUUAUCGCUACUUUAGCAUAACGUCCCAAUAAGUUAGAAGUAUAUGUAAUAUUUUAUCCGCGCGUCUUUAUUUCUUUAACGCUUAUAGUUAUACCAUCUAAGUUGUUUUCGCUCUUCACUCUUUGUCUCUCUUUCCGUGGACCAUGAAUCAAGGACAGUUUGGCAUGGACAUAUACAGUAUACUCAUAUACCCAUCCCACUAGGGAAUUAAAAUACAAGAUUCCUUUCCACCUAUUAUCUAACGAAUGAUUGAAAUUUUGAAAUUGACUGAAUUUUUUAUGGAUUUAACUUCGCUGCGGCUUUCAUCCAAUUUCGAUUGGACACGUAUACCAGUUUUGAUUAAAAAAAUUAAAAUUUGAACACGUGUUCAGUCGGGUGUGAGCAGCUGCUGAAUCUGCAGCAGCCAAAUCCAGUUUUUUUUUAUUUUUUUUAUGCGUAUUCAUAUCCCGUCCCGUCGGGAUUAAGGAUUUAUAAUCCGACUUUUCUCAGCAUCAUUCUCACACGCCCCGCUGGACUCUGAAAACCCAGACAAAGCCUGGACUCCAGAAAUUGUCAUUUGCUUUGCAUUCUUUGUCCAAUCCAAGGGUCCUUGUCCGUUUUGACCCUUGCAAUUAGUCGUGGACUAUAUCGUCCCGAGCUAAAUCCUUCUGCUAAUCACAACCACAUAUGUCAGUUCAUCCUUCCCAUAAAUUAGAUUAGUUUAGAAUAUCGCUCGAGAAAAAGUUCGGAUCCCAGUUCCAUUUGGCAUUCAAAGGGAGGAACUUUGUGAUUAAAAUCACACAAAAGUCGUAAAAUUUAUCACCUGGGAUUCGAUGGUUUCCGAAGGAGUGGAAGAAUCGGGAGGCACGGAGGUGCCCCAGUCAAAAUUCAGGUACAACUCGCCGUUUGUCCAAGUGAGUUUGAUCGGAUUGGUCUGUUUCUGCUGCCCUGGCAUGUUCAACGCCCUCUCCGGCAUGGGCGGCGGAGGCCAGGUCGAUCCGACCGCCGCUAACAACGCCUCCACCGCCCUCUAUACCACCUUCGCCGUCUUCGGUAUCCUCGGUGGCGGCAUCUACAACAUCCUCGGCCCCCGCCUCACUCUCCUCUCCGCCUGCUCCACCUACGUUCUCUACGCCGGCUCAUUCCUCUACUACAACCACCACAAACACCAGGCUUUCGCUAUUGUCGCCGGAGCAAUCCUCGGAAUCGGCGCCGGCCUCCUCUGGGCCGGCCAAGGUGCCAUCAUGACGUCAUACCCUCCCCCAAACCGAAAGGGGACAUACAUCUCGAUUUUCUGGAGCAUUUUCAACAUGGGUGGCGUCAUCGGUGGACUAAUUCCCUUCGUUCUUAAUUACCACCGGAGUGAAGCGGCUUCCGUCAACGAUGCAACUUACAUUGGGUUCAUGAUUUUCAUGUCCAUUGGGACUCUUUUAUCCCUCGCUAUCCUGCCCCCCAGCAAAGUUGUCCGGGACGACGGGACUAAAUGUACGGACAUUCAGUACUCAAAUGUUACGACUGAGGCCAUUGAGAUUGCCAAGCUGUUUACAAAUUGGAAAAUGCUUCUUAUAAUCCCGGCUGCUUGGUCGAGCAAUUUUUUCUACACCUACCAAUUCAACAACGUCAAUCAAAUUAUGUUUAAUCUGAGGACUAGAGGAUUGAACAAUGUGUUCUACUGGGGAGCGCAGAUGUUGGGGUCCGUCGGGAUUGGAUACGUUAUGGAUUUCAGCUUCAAGAGCAGGAGGACGAGGGGUUUCGCUGGCAUUUCAGUAGUUGGUGUUCUCGGGACUACAAUAUGGAUUGGCGGACUUGUCAACCAGCUCAACUACUCUCGCAGUGAUUUGCCUGAGAAGUUGGAUUUUAAGGACUCCGGCUCUGCUUUUGCAGGACCCUUCGUGUUGUAUUUUAGUUUCGGACUGCUUGAUGCCAUGUUCCAGAGCAUGGUUUACUGGGUCAUUGGAGCCUUGGCUGAUAACUCUGAAAUUCUAAGCAGGUA
RNAcentral lists this long non-coding RNA (7407 nucleotides) under Malus domestica (apple). RNAcentral's name for it is "long non-coding RNA (MDOM_LNC001257)". Lineage: Eukaryota; Viridiplantae; Streptophyta; Magnoliopsida; Rosales; Rosaceae. The record is from RNAcentral.